GGGGGUGGUGGUGUGGCUCUGCAACUUUGGAAACUGCCAUUUCAUUCACACUCGGCAGUGCCUGGGGGGGCUGGCGGAGGGGGCCGCUCAAGGCUGCAGAAUCCUAGCUCUCUCCAGCUCCCCGACAACCCAGUUGCACCAUGUAGGUCCAGCUGCUCAAAGGAAGCCGGAGGCUCCAACCCAGCUACCGGCCAGAUGAUCUGGAGUACCCUCAGUCCCUCCUUUGUAAAAUUGCAACCUCGGGAGUGCAAAAGGUAGCGGGGGAUUUAGGAAACUUUGCAAAGGGAAAACGCCUUUCUCUCGACUGAGACCCAACGACGGGCACCCAAACCCCCUCCCCCCCCAUUAGAACAGACGCCCCUCAGCAAUCCAUCCGCUGCAAGCAGAGUCCUGCCAAUAGCUUAUUUUGAAUCUCUCUAACCCCACCCCCACUCUUACAAACCCCCCACAACGUCCUCUUCCUGGGAGAGGGGAGAGCCUGAACCCCAGUUCCCGGGAAUGGUGCAGGGUCCCCGGGAGAGCCGCGUCUCCUCGGGGCUGGAGCAGUCGUGACCCAGAUUACCACCGCGGCGGCCUCGCCCUAACCCCCCUCUCUUCUUCCUCCAGGGGCACCCUUUGGAGAACCCCAGCUUCGGGGUCGAGACGCACCCGCUCUCCGUCAGCUCAAACACGGAUAAAUGUUCUAGAGAAGGGCGAAAUUCUUUUCGAUGAAGCCAUUACACCCCUCCUGGCAAAGGCUGUAAAAAGGAUUAGGGCGGGUCUCUUCCACCCGGGGUGCCUUCGGGGCUGGAACUGGCUUUUCAGGGAAAACCCCGAGAUGGUUUUGUUUCGGAAGCAGCAACAGUCCCCCGAGGAUACUCGAGCGCCCUGUGCGCGAGCCGCGAUCCCGUCCGGGGCUUGCCUUCCCGCCGCGCUCGCCACCCGGGGGCCGCCGGGCAGUUUGCAACCCCAGCUCCUUACCUCCCGCCGGCUGCCGGGGAUCCAGAGGCGAUUCUGCGCGGGGGUCUCCGGGUGGCCUGGGGGUGGUGGUCCUCGGGUGGUUGCAGUCUGUGCGCGCUUGCGCCUGGCUAGCGCUAGCUCGGCUCCAACCCAGUUCCCAGGAGCCCCCCGCAUCCACCCAGCGCGUCCAGACAGAUGACUGUCACUGGCUGCGCUUUGAAGCUCGGGGGAUAUUAUUAACUGAAAAAUCUGACACACCCGGGGGGCGGGGAGAGAAGGGGGCUGCGGCACAGACAAGGGGGAGGGAGAAAGGCAGAGGAAAGCGGCUUUACCCCGCCCUCUUGAUUUCCAUAAAAAUCAGGGGAGGCGCCAAGGCUUUCGCGCCAAAAGCCACUCGCUUUUCUUCUUUGCAGAGAGGAGGCUGCAAAGCUGGGAAAGCCCGGGGUGUGCUCCUCCCUCGCUUUUAGACCCCCGGGCUUGCACCCGGUGCACUCUGCGAACCAGCUGCGCGCCGAGCGGUGCAAUGCAGCACCCACCCUGCGGGCCUGGCAGUUGCUUGGCAUUAAAAUAUUUCUUUCCGGAGGGCUCCGGGGGUGUGUACUGGGGGAUGGGGGGGCGGGGGUGGGGGAGCCGAGGCUCCGAUCCCAGCCCCCGCCCUGACUGCGUUUGUGUUCGGCUGAGCGCGACGCCAACGUCGAGCAAGGCCUGGCGGUGGGAUUGCUCGUGUAAUCUCGAAGGGAGGCUAGACCGAGGGUGCAAAAUGGGAGGAGGAGGACGCGCCCAUUUAGGAACGAGACCGCAGGAUGUUUCUAGUUUUGAAUUGAAAGGAGAGGGGCGCCCCCCUUGUUUGAAAAUAAAUAAAUAACU
RNAcentral lists this long non-coding RNA (1806 nucleotides) under Lynx pardinus (Iberian lynx). Lineage: Eukaryota; Metazoa; Chordata; Mammalia; Carnivora; Felidae. The record is from RNAcentral.